Molecule: ribosomal RNA, 1426 nt
Filed under: Enterobacter sp. enrichment culture clone HSL11
Lineage: Bacteria; Pseudomonadati; Pseudomonadota; Gammaproteobacteria; Enterobacterales; Enterobacteriaceae
Description: 16S ribosomal RNA
Rfam family: Bacterial small subunit ribosomal RNA
Source: RNAcentral
AGUCGAAGGUAGCACAGAGAGCUUGCUCUCGGGUGACGAGUGGCGGACGGGUGAGUAAUGUCUGGGAAACUGCCUGAUGGAGGGGGAUAACUACUGGAAACGGUAGCUAAUACCGCAUAACGUCGCAAGACCAAAGAGGGGGACCUUCGGGCCUCUUGCCAUCAGAUGUGCCCAGAUGGGAUUAGCUAGUAGGUGGGGUAACGGCUCACCUAGGCGACGAUCCCUAGCUGGUCUGAGAGGAUGACCAGCCACACUGGAACUGAGACACGGUCCAGACUCCUACGGGAGGCAGCAGUGGGGAAUAUUGCACAAUGGGCGCAAGCCUGAUGCAGCCAUGCCGCGUGUAUGAAGAAGGCCUUCGGGUUGUAAAGUACUUUCAGCGGGGAGGAAGGUGUUGUGGUUAAUAACCACAGCAAUUGACGUUACCCGCAGAAGAAGCACCGGCUAACUCCGUGCCAGCAGCCGCGGUAAUACGGAGGGUGCAAGCGUUAAUCGGAAUUACUGGGCGUAAAGCGCACGCAGGCGGUCUGUCAAGUCGGAUGUGAAAUCUCCGGGCUCAACCUGGGAACUGCAUUCGAAACUGGCAGGCUAGAGUCUCGUAGAGGGGGGUAGAAUUCCAGGUGUAGCGGUGAAAUGCGUAGAGAUCUGGAGGAUACCGGUGGCGAAAGCGGGCCCCUGGGACAAAGACUGACGCUCAAGUGCCAAAGCGUGGGGAGCAAACAAGGAUAAAUACCCUGGGUAUCCACGCCCUAAACGAUGUCGAAUUUGAAGGUGGGGCCUUGGAGCGUGGCUUCCCGGACUUACACGUUAAAUCCACCGCCUGGGGAGUACGGCCGCAAGGUUAAAACUCAAAUGAAUUGACGGGGGCCCGCACAAGCGGUGGAGCAUGUGGUUUAAUUCGAUGCAACGCGAAGAACCUUACCUGGUCUUGACAUCCACAGAACUUAGCAGAGAUGCUUUGGUGCCUUCGGGAACUGUGAGACAGGUGCUGCAUGGCUGUCGUCAGCUCGUGUUGUGAAAUGUUGGGUUAAGUCCCGCAACGAGCGCAACCCUUAUCCUUUGUUGCCAGCGGUUAGGCCGGGAACUCAAAGGAGACUGCCAGUGAUAAACUGGAGGAAGGUGGGGAUGACGUCAAGUCAUCAUGGCCCUUACGACCAGGGCUACACACGUGCUACAAUGGCGCAUACAAAGAGAAGCGACCUCGCGAGAGCAAGCGGACCUCAUAAAGUGCGUCGUAGUCCGGAUUGGAGUCUGCAACUCGACUCCAUGAAGUCGGAAUCGCUAGUAAUCGUAGAUCAGAAUGCUACGGUGAAUACGUUCCCGGGCCUUGUACACACCGCCCGUCACACCAUGGGAGUGGGUUGCAAAAGAAGUAGGUAGCUUAACCUUCGGGAGGGCGCUUACCACUUUGUAUUCAUGACUGGGG